This 429-nucleotide ribosomal RNA is filed under the name Chloroflexota bacterium. Its description in RNAcentral is "Chloroflexi bacterium partial 16S ribosomal RNA". It matches the Rfam family "Bacterial small subunit ribosomal RNA", at positions 355 to 776 of the family's 1533-position model. The record is from RNAcentral. Lineage: Bacteria; Bacillati; Chloroflexota.
UGGGGAAUAUUGCACAAUGGGCGCAAGCCUGAUGCAGCCAUGCCGCGUGGAUGAAGAAGGCCUUCGGGUUGUAAAGUACUUUCAGUCGGGAGGAAGGUGGUAAGGUUAAUAACCUUAUCAAUUGACGUUACCGACAGAAGAAGCACCGGCUAACUCCGUGCCAGCAGCCGCGGUAAUACGGAGGGUGCAAGCGUUAAUCGGAAUUACUGGGCGUAAAGUGCACGCAGGCGGUUUGUUAAGUCAGAUGUGAAAUCCCCGGGCUCAACCUGGGAAGUGCAGCUGAUACUGGCAAGCUUGAGUCUCGUAGAGGGGGGAAGAAUUCCAGGUGUAGCGGUGAAAUGCGUAGAGAUCAGGAGGAAUACCGGUGGCGAAGGCGGCCCCCUGGACGAAGACUGACGCUCAGGUGCGAAAGCGUGGGGAGCAAACAGG